Molecule: ribosomal RNA, 497 nt
Filed under: uncultured bacterium
Lineage: Bacteria
Description: partial 16S ribosomal RNA
Rfam family: Bacterial small subunit ribosomal RNA
Source: RNAcentral
GAUGAACGCUGGCGGCGUGCCUAAUACAUGCAAGUCGAGCGAACGGACGAGAAGCUUGCUUCUCUGAUGUUAGCGGCGGACGGGUGAGUAACACGUGGAUAACCUACCUAUAAGACUGGGAUAACUUCGGGAAACCGGAGCUAAUACCGGAUAAUAUUUUGAACCGCAUGGUUCAAAAGUGAAAGACGGUCUUGCUGUCACUUAUAGAUGGAUCCGCGCUGCAUUAGCUAGUUGGUAAGGUAACGGCUUACCAAGGCAACGAUGCAUAGCCGACCUGAGAGGGUGAUAGGCCACACUGGAACUGAGACACGGUCCAGACUCCUGCGGGAGGCAGCAGUAGGGAAUCUUCCGCAAUGGGCGAAAGCCUGACGGAGCAACGCCGCGUGAGUGAUGAAGGUCUUCGGAUCGUAAAACUCUGUUAUUAGGGAAAAACAUAUGUGUAAGUAACUGUGCACAUCUUGACGGUACCUAAUCAGAAAGCCACGGCUAACUACGUG